GAUGAACGCUGGCGGCGUGCUUAACACAUGCAAGUCGAACGGUGAAGCAGAGCUUGCUCUGUGGAUCAGUGGCGAACGGGUGAGUAACACGUGAGCAACCUGCCCCUGACUCUGGGAUAAGCGCUGGCAACGGCGUCUAAUACCGGAUAUGAGCUGCGACCGCCUGGUCAGCGGAUGGGAAGAUUUGACGGUCUGGGAUGGGCUCACGGCCUAUCAGCUUGUUGGGGGGGUAAUGGGUCACCAAGGCGUCGCGGGGUACCCGGCCUGAGGUGGGGCCCGGCCACGCUUGGACUGAGACACGGCCCAGACUCCUACUGGAGGCUGCAGUGGGGCAUAUUGCACCAUGGGCGAGUGCGUGAUGCAGCAACGCCGCGUGAGGGAUGACGGCCUUCGGGUUGUAAACCUCUUUUAGAAGGGAAGAAGCGAAAGUGACGGUACCUGCAGAAAAAGCGCCGGCUAUCUACG
This 465-nucleotide ribosomal RNA is filed under the name uncultured bacterium. Its description in RNAcentral is "partial 16S ribosomal RNA". It matches the Rfam family "Bacterial small subunit ribosomal RNA", at positions 28 to 505 of the family's 1533-position model. The record is from RNAcentral.